AUGACGAGUGUUCUUUUAGAACACGAAGUGGUUGAUGCCAUGCUUCCAAGAAAAGCUUCUAAGCUUCAGGUAACCAGGAACCGUACCCCAAACCGACACAGGUGGUUGGGUAGAGAAUACCAAGGCGCUUGAGAGAACUCGGGUGAAGGAACUAGGCAAAAUGGCACCGUAACUUCGGGAGAAGGUGCGCCGGUGAGGGUGAAGCAUUUACUGCGUAAGCCCAUGCCGGUCGAAGAUACCAGGCCGCUGCGACUGUUUAUUAAAAACACAGCACUCUGCAAACACGAAAGUGGACGUAUAGGGUGUGACGCCUGCCCGGUGCCGGAAGGUUAAUUGAUGGGGUUAGCUAACGCGAAGCUCUUGAUCGAAGCCCCGGUAAACGGCGGCCGUAACAAUAACGGUCCUAAGGUAGCGAAAUUCCUUGUCGGGUAAGUUCCGACCUGCACGAAUGGCGUAACGAUGGCGGCGCUGUCUCCACCCGAGACUCAGUGAAAUUGAAAUCGCUGUGAAGAUGCAGUGUAUCCGCGGCUAGACGGAAAGACCCCGUGAACCUUUACUAUAGCUUUGCACUGGACUUUGAAUUUGCUUGUGUAGGAUAGGCGGGAGGCUUUGAAGCGUGGACGCCAGUUCGCGUGGAGCCAACCUUGAAAUACCACCCUGGCAACUUUGAGGUUCUAACUCAGGUCCGUUAUCCGGAUCGAGGACAGUGUAUGGUGGGUAGUUUGACUGGGGCGGUCUCCUCCUAAAGAGUAACGGAGGAGUACGAAGGUGCGCUCAGACCGGUCGGAAAUCGGUCGUAGAGUAUAAAGGCAAAAGCGCGCUUGACUGCGAGACAGACACGUCGAGCAGGUACGAAAGUAGGUCUUAGUGAUCCGGUGGUUCUGUAUGGAAGGGCCAUCGCUCAACGGAUAAAAGGUACUCCGGGGAUAACAGGCUGAUACCGCCCAAGAGUUCAUAUCGACGGCGGUGUUUGGCACCUCGAUGUCGGCUCAUCACAUCCUGGGGCUGAAGCCGGUCCCAAGGGUAUGGCUGUUCGCCAUUUAAAGUGGUACGCGAGCUGGGUUUAGAACGUCGUGAGACAGUUCGGUCCCUAUCUGCCGUGGACGUUUGAGAUUUGAGAGGGGCUGCUCCUAGUACGAGAGGACCGGAGUGGACGAACCUCUGGUGUUCCGGUUGUCACGCCAGUGGCAUUGCCGGGUAGCUAUGUUCGGAAUAGAUAACCGCUGAAAGCAUCUAAGCGGGAAACUAGCCUCAAGAUGAGAUCUCACUGGGACCUUGAGUCCCCUGAAGGGCCGUCGAAGACUACGACGUUGAUAGGUUGGGUGUGUAAGCGCUGUGAGGCGUUGAGCUAACCAAUACUAAUUGCCCGUGAGGCUUGACC
Molecule: ribosomal RNA, 1381 nt
Filed under: metagenome
Description: bacterial LSU rRNA
Rfam family: Bacterial large subunit ribosomal RNA
Source: RNAcentral